CUUAGGACACCAAGUUGACUUAAACCAGUCUUCAAAAAGAUUCCAAAUUUCAAGGUCUGAGAGUCAGAUCAAAGUCAAGGCAAUGCUCUCAAAAAUAAGCACUUUCUGCCCUUUAUUUGGACAGCUCAUUCUCGUUGCCUGAUGCAUGCUUACUACUAGGUAAGCACUGUACCACUGAGUCACAUUCCCAGCCUAAACCCUCUUGAAAAUUAAUCCUACAUCUAUCUAGGAACAAAGCUCCUCACAGAUAAUUAGGUGAGAAAAGUGCAGCAUACAUAGCUAGCUGAGAAUCUACCUGAAACAGGGCAUUAUUUAGCCAAGUUUCAACAGGAUAUGCCUACAGCAUUUGUAUCAAGAGUUUCUUCUUGUCACAAAUGAAACAAAUCAUAUUAAAGCCCGUGAAAUCAUCUAGCAGACUAUCUGGUAGACAACAGAGCCCUCACAAACAUCAGUUUUCCUUUAUUCUAAAACGACAAUGGCUAUUGGUAUCCAAGUCCAUUACUAAUGCUCUUUCAAGAAAAUUGACAAAGCAUAAUAGUGCAAUCCUGACAAAGGCUGGUCUGAUCCCAACCUCUAGUUGCUUUACAACCUUCCCUGCCCCCCUGCCCAGAAGACUUCAGUCAAUUGGAGUGCCCAGAACAAUUCAGUCAAUCUGGG
Long non-coding RNA from Perognathus longimembris pacificus (Pacific pocket mouse), 657 nucleotides. RefSeq lists it as uncharacterized. Lineage: Eukaryota; Metazoa; Chordata; Mammalia; Rodentia; Heteromyidae. The record is from RefSeq and is a predicted model, not a curated record. The transcript is spliced from 4 exons.